UAUAGAGGGUGAGGCCUGCCCAAUGGUUGUAUCUAAAAACGGUUGAUAAAAGUCAACCUCGUAAGGACAAUUGAAUGGCCGCGGUAACACUGACCGUGAUAAUGUUGCGUAAUCAAUAGCCAAUUAAUUGUUGAGCAGUAUGAAUGGCGCCACGAAGGCCCCACUGGCUUAAGGAAAUUCCCAGUGAAAUUGAAUUCGUAGUGAAGAUGCUACGUCCUAUUUGUUAUACGAAAAGACCCCGCUGACCUUUACUGAAUUACUUACACGGCCCCGAACAUCCAAACUAAGCUUACGAUGCCUUUGGUUUGGCCGAAUUUACCUGGGCUUUUUAUACUAUUUGGUAUCACCCUCGUCUGUCAGAUGAAACCCCCACUCCCCCAUGUCAAAGGGGCUAUCCCC
RNAcentral lists this ribosomal RNA (399 nucleotides) under Terrazoanthus sinnigeri. Its description in RNAcentral is "partial 16S ribosomal RNA". It matches the Rfam family "Bacterial large subunit ribosomal RNA", at positions 1844 to 2249 of the family's 2925-position model. The record is from RNAcentral. Lineage: Eukaryota; Metazoa; Cnidaria; Anthozoa; Zoantharia; Hydrozoanthidae.